CGGAGGUAACAGACAGUCGAGAGGCAGAGACGUGGUCCAAAAAACAAGCAAAGUUCAUUACACAGUGAGACAGAGUUCAGUAGCUGAAAAAAGGCAAGGUCCAAAAAACAAAAUAAUAAAGUGGGCUUGA
Long non-coding RNA from Thalassophryne amazonica, 130 nucleotides. RefSeq lists it as uncharacterized. The transcript has 3 exons. The record is from RefSeq and is a predicted model, not a curated record. Lineage: Eukaryota; Metazoa; Chordata; Actinopteri; Batrachoidiformes; Batrachoididae.